This 801-nucleotide ribosomal RNA is filed under the name uncultured bacterium. Its description in RNAcentral is "bacterial SSU rRNA". It matches the Rfam family "Bacterial small subunit ribosomal RNA", at positions 67 to 864 of the family's 1533-position model. The record is from RNAcentral.
CGAGAAGGCGUAGCAAUACGCUUGUACAGUGGCGAACGGGUGAGGAGUACGUGGGUGACUUACCCUCGAGAGGGGAAUAACUUGCCGAAAGGUGAGCUAAUACCCCGUACGCUUCCGGCUUUGCGGAGCCGGAAGGAAAGCUGUGCCGUUGGGUACGGCGCUCAAGGAUGGGCUCACGUCCUAUCAGCUUGUUGGUAGGGUAACGGCCUACCAAGGCAACGACGGGUAGCUGGUCUGAGAGGACGAUCAGCCACACUGGCACUGCGACACGGGCCAGACUCCUACGGGAGGCAGCAGUGAGGAAUAUUGCGCAAUGGGCGAAAGCCUGACGCAGCGACGCCGCGUGGGGGAUGAAGGUCUUCGGAUUGUAAACCCCUUUCGGGAGGGAAGAUGGGGCGGGCAACCGCUCGGACGGUACCUCCAGAAGCAGCCACGGCUAACUUCGUGCCAGCAGCCGCGGUAAUACGAAGGUGGCAAGCGUUGUUCGGAUUUACUGGGCGUAAAGAGAGCGUAGGCGGUUGGGUAAGCCCUGUGGGAAAUCUCCCGGCUUAACCGGGAAAGGUCGCAGGGGACUGCUUGGCUAGAGGGCGGGAGAGGAGCGCGGAAUUCCCGGUGUAGCGGUGAAAUGCGUAGAGAUCGGGAGGAAGGCCGGUGGCGAAGGCGGCGCUCUGGAACGUACCUGACGCUGAGGCUCGAAAGCGUGGGGAGCAAACAGGAUUAGAUACCCUGGUAGUCCACGCCCUAAACGAUGGACACUAAGUGUCGGCGGUUUACCGUCGGUGCCGCAGCUAACGCAUUAAG